This 395-nucleotide ribosomal RNA is filed under the name uncultured bacterium. RNAcentral describes it as "partial 16S ribosomal RNA". It matches the Rfam family "Bacterial small subunit ribosomal RNA", at positions 523 to 918 of the family's 1533-position model. The record is from RNAcentral.
AUACGUAGGGUGCAAGCGUUAAUCGGAAUUACUGGGCGUAAAGCGUGCGCAGGCGGUUUUGUAAGACAGAGGUGAAAUCCCCGGGCUCAACCUGGGAACUGCCUUUGUGACUGCAAGGCUAGAGUACGGCGGAGGGGGAUGGAAUUCCGCGCGUAGCAGUGAAAUGCGUAGAUAUGCGGAGGAACACCGAUGGCGAAGGCAAUCCCCUGGGCCUGCACUGACGCUCAUGAACGAAAGCGUGGGGAGCAAACAGGAUUAGAUACCCUGGUAGUCCACGCCCUAAACGAUGUCAACUGGUUGUUGGGGAUUUAUUUUCUCAGUAACGAAGCUAACGCGUGAAGUUGACCGCCUGGGGAGUACGGCCGCAAGGUUAAAACUCAAAUGAAUUGACGGGG